GACGAACGCUGGCGGCGUGCCUAAUACAUGCAAGUCGAGCGAGCGAAACUAACAGAUUUACUUCGGUAAUGACGUUAGGAAAGCGAGCGGCGGAUGGGUGAGUAACACGUGGGGAACCUGCCCCAUAGUCUGGGAUACCACUUGGAAACAGGUGCUAAUACCGGAUAAGAAAGCAGAUCGCAUGAUCAGCUUUUAAAAGGCGGCGUAAGCUGUCGCUAUGGGAUGGCCCCGCGGUGCAUUAGCUAGUUGGUAAGGUAAAGGCUUACCAAGGCGAUGAUGCAUAGCCGAGCUGAGAGGCUGAUCGGCCACAAUGGGACUGAGACACGGCCCAGACUCCUACGGGAGGCAGCAGUAGGGAAUCUUCCACAAUGGGCGAAAGUCUGACGGAGCAACGCCGCGUGAGUGAAGAAGGUUUUCGGAUCGUAAAGCUCUGUUGUUGGUGAAGAAGGAUAGUGGAAGUAACUAGCCUUUAUUUGACGGUAAUCAACCAGAAAGUCACGGCUAACUACGUG
This 512-nucleotide ribosomal RNA is filed under the name uncultured bacterium. RNAcentral's name for it is "partial 16S ribosomal RNA". It matches the Rfam family "Bacterial small subunit ribosomal RNA", at positions 28 to 507 of the family's 1533-position model. The record is from RNAcentral.